UACAGAGGUGGCAAGCGUUGUUCGGAAUUACUGGGCGUAAAGGGCGCGUAGGCGGCCUACUGAGUCAGACGUGAAAUCCCCCGGCUUAACCUGGGAACUGCGUCUGAUACUGGAAGGCUUGAGUAUGGGAGAGGGAUGUAGAAUUCCAGGUGUAGCGGUGAAAUGCGUAGAUAUCUGGAGGAAUACCGGUGGCGAAGGCGGCAUCCUGGACCAUUACUGACGCUGAGGCGCGAAAGCUAGGGGAGCAAACGGG
RNAcentral lists this ribosomal RNA (253 nucleotides) under uncultured bacterium. Its description in RNAcentral is "partial 16S ribosomal RNA". It matches the Rfam family "Bacterial small subunit ribosomal RNA", at positions 524 to 776 of the family's 1533-position model. The record is from RNAcentral.